CAGCCGCCGCGGUAAUACGAAGGGUGCAAGCGUUACUCGGAAUUACUGGGCGUAAAGCGUGCGUAGGCGGUUUGUUAAGUCUGCUGUGAAAUCCCCGGGCUCAACCUGGGAAUGGCAGUGGAUACUGGCAAGCUAGAGUGUGUCAGAGGAUGGUGGAAUUCCCGGUGUAGCGGUGAAAUGCGUAGAGAUCGGGAGGAACAUCAGUGGCGAAGGCGGCCAUCUGGGACAACACUGACGCUGAGGCACGAAAGCGUGGGGAGCAAACAGGAUUAGAUACCCGGGUAGUCCCUGUCUCUUAUAC
RNAcentral lists this ribosomal RNA (301 nucleotides) under uncultured bacterium. RNAcentral's name for it is "partial 16S ribosomal RNA". It matches the Rfam family "Bacterial small subunit ribosomal RNA", at positions 509 to 807 of the family's 1533-position model. The record is from RNAcentral.